CUUACAGACAUCUUUGGCAUUCUGUCCACCUCCUCCUGUACAUGUGUGUAUAUAUAUGUGUUUUGUGUGGAAGAAGGAGGUGGGUAUACUGCCAAUAGAGAUCUGUUAG
MicroRNA precursor from Arabidopsis lyrata subsp. lyrata, 109 nucleotides. It matches the Rfam family "MIR394 microRNA precursor family". NCBI's taxonomy places the organism in Eukaryota, Viridiplantae, Streptophyta, Magnoliopsida, Brassicales, Brassicaceae. The record is from Rfam.